GAUGAACGCUGGCGGCGUGCCUAAUACAUGCAAGUCGAGCGAACAGAUAAGGAGCUUGCUCCUUUGACGUUAGCGGCGGACGGGUGAGUAACACGUGGAUAACCUACCUAUAAGACUGGGAUAACUUCGGGAAACCGGAGCUAAUACCGGAUAACAUAUUGAACCGCAUUGUUCAAUAGUGAAAUUCGGCUUUUCUGUCACUUAUAGAUGGAUCCGCGCCGUAUUAGCUAGUUGGUAAGGUAACGGCUUACCAAGGCAACGAUACGUAGCCGACAGGAGAGGGUGAUCGGCGAAACUGGAAGUGAGACACGGUCCAGAGUCCUACGGGAGGCAGCAGUAGGGAAUCUUCCGCAAUGGGCGAAAGCCUGACGGAGCAACGCCGAGUGAGUGAUGAAGGUCUUCGGAUCGUAAAACUCUGUUAUCAGGGAAGAACAAAUGUGUAAGUAACUGUGCACAGCUUGACGGUACCUGAUCAGAAAGCCACGGCUAACUACGUG
RNAcentral lists this ribosomal RNA (497 nucleotides) under uncultured bacterium. RNAcentral's name for it is "partial 16S ribosomal RNA". It matches the Rfam family "Bacterial small subunit ribosomal RNA", at positions 28 to 507 of the family's 1533-position model. The record is from RNAcentral.